UACAGAGGUCUCAAGCGUUGUUCGGAUUCAUUGGGCGUAAAGGGUGCGUAGGCGGCGCGGGUAGUCGGGUGUGAAAUCUCGGAGCUUAACUCCGAAACUGCAUUCGAUACUGCCGUGCUUGAGGACUGGAGAGGAGACUGGAAUUUACGGUGUAGCGGUGAAAUGCGUAGAUAUCGUAAGGAAGACCAGUGGCGAAGGCGGGUCUCUGGACAGUUCCUGACGCUGAGGCACGAAGGUCAGGGGAGCAAACGGG
RNAcentral lists this ribosomal RNA (253 nucleotides) under uncultured bacterium. Its description in RNAcentral is "partial 16S ribosomal RNA". It matches the Rfam family "Bacterial small subunit ribosomal RNA", at positions 524 to 776 of the family's 1533-position model. The record is from RNAcentral.